RNAcentral lists this long non-coding RNA (8809 nucleotides) under Malus domestica (apple). Its description in RNAcentral is "long non-coding RNA (MDOM_LNC009986)". Lineage: Eukaryota; Viridiplantae; Streptophyta; Magnoliopsida; Rosales; Rosaceae. The record is from RNAcentral.
UGAAGAAAAGUAGUCAUCAGAAAGCUUAUAAAAUAAGCACACUAUACAACAACAGCUAUCAUGUGCACCAAUUAAUAAAAAACGAAAUAAAGUUCAGUUUUAGCUUUUUUCGUUGAGGGAGAUUAGAAUUCAGAAUAAUAUAGCACCAAAACCCUACAAUUUGGAUAAGCUAUAAAUUAUGGGCAAAACCUCUUGUGACAUAUACCGUGGAAGAAUAAAUGAAAAAUGACCAAAAUCUUCAAUACGCAAUUACACAUGGACAAAGCUAUCACAGGCAUAGCGUUUACAACAACAACAACAACAACAACAAAGCCUUUUCCCACUAAGUGGGGUCGGCUAUAUGAAUCCUAGAACGCCAUUGCGCUCGGUUUUGUGUCAUGCCCUCCGUUAGAUCCAAGUACUCUAAGUCUUUUCUUAGAGUCUCUUCCAAAGUUUUCCUAGGUCUUCCUCUACCCCUUCGGCCCUGAACCUCUGUCCCGUAGUCACAUCUUCGAACCGGAGCGUCAGUCGGCCUUCUUUGCACAUGUCCAAAUCACCAGAGCCGAUUUUCUCUCAUCUUUCCUACAAUUUCGGCUACUCCUACUUUACCUCGGAUAUCCUCAUUCCCAAUCUUAUCCUUUCUCGUGUGCCCACACAUCCCACGAAGCAUCCUCAUCUCCGCUACACCCCAUUUUGUGUACGUGUUGAUGCUUCACCACCCAACAUUCUCUGCCAUACAACAUCGCUGGCCUUAUUGCCGUCCUAUAAAAUUUUCCCUUGAGCUUCAGUGGCCUACGACGGUCACACAACACGCCGGAUGCACUCUUUCCAUCCAGCUCGUAUUCUAUGGUUGAGAUCUCCAUCUAAUUCUCCGUUCUCUUGCAAGAUAGAUCCUAGGUAACGAAAACGGUCGCUUUUUGUGGUCUUCGCUAGAUUGCUCCGGUCAUUAGUGUGGAUAAGUAUAUAAAUGGAUAGAGAUAGGAAAGCAAACAAGAUGUACGUGGUUCACCCAGAUUGGCUGCGUCCACGGAAUAGAAGAGUUCUCAUUAAUUGUGAAGGGUUUACACAAGUACAUAGGUUCAAGCUCUCCUUUAGUGAGUACGAGUGAAUGAUUUAGUACAAAUGACAUUAGGAAAUAUUGUGGGAGGAUGAUCUCGUAAUCACGAAACUUCUAAGUAUCGGAGUGUGGUGUCGUCUUGACUUGCCUUAUCUGUCUCAUAGGUAGAUGUGGCAUCUUCCCUGGAAGUACUCUUCCUCCAUCCAGGGGUGGUAUCUUUAACUGGUGGAGAUGCACAAGGUAAUGUAUCAAUUUCACUUGAAGCUUACUUGUAGUUUCAGGCUUGGUCAAGCGCGAUACAAACCAUGUAGUAGGAGUCCCCCAAGUCGCCGAGCUAGGGGGUCUGCUGAAAGCGUUGACAGACAAGGUAAGCAAUCAGAGCUCCGACUGAUUGUUCACCUUCUCCCCAUCUUGCAGCAGCAUGAAGGAUAAAGAGAAGAAAAAUGAGAAGAGAUGAUAUGAGAUACUUUUGCUUUUGAAGAAGUAACUUUCCACAGGCUUAUUCUUGAACUGAGCUGGAGGGUUUUCUGGUUUCCUCCAGAGUAUAAGGCCGACUGAAGAAUUUGAGGGUCAAAACAAGUCCAUCAAAUCUAGAGUACGUUCCACCCUGCUGAUAUGGGAUACUUUUGCUUUUGACAGAGUAAUGGAUGUAUCGGCACGUGUGCUGUUACGCUUGUCUCCACAUGCUUCCUUGUAUCCUUCGCACUUGCCCUAUCUGUUCCUCAAGCAGAUGCGGAAUCUUCCCUGGAAACAUAAGAUGAUGAAGAUGAGUACUCGAGAGAGCAAUGCCAGGUAAGUAAUCAGGUAAGGGGUUCCAGGCAGUCAGUUCCUGGCUGGAAGCUUGAUUCCAAGUGCUGACUGAUUGCUCUCUUUCUCCUUGUCUUGCAGGUAAAAACAAGGCCAAAAGAAAAAACAGGGAAAAAGCAUGAUAUGGGAUACUCUUGCUUUUAACCCUGAUGAUAUGAGAUAUUCUUGCUCUAGUAUAGCUUGUUUGCAGAGGUAUUAUCGGGGGGGAAGAAAGCUGAAUAUUUCGAAAGGCUUUGUUGGGAGUGCCCUCUCAGAUAUGAUGAAGGGUUGAGCAUUUUUGCAGGUCUGCCUGUCCGUUGGGGAUGGAGGUCGACAUAUAUAGGCGUCUCCCUAACAACAAGUAGUAAUGCUAUUCCUUUACCCUGCUUGGUCAUAGCACGGUAGUGGGAGCUGCCAGUUUCACAUGUUUUAACUCUGUCAGAGCACUUUGAAAAAGUGGUAUGUGGUAUCUGGCUCUCGAGAUUCGGAGAACGAUGCCCUCUUCGAUUUUUGAGAAAGCAAUCAUGCUGGGGGUCUGACUCUCGAGAUUCGGAGAGCAGUGUCUCUUCGAUUUUUGAGGAAGUAAUCAUGUUGGGAGUCUGGCUCUCGAGAUUCGGAAGACGGUGCCUCUUCGAUUUUGGAGCAAGCAAUCUUGUUGGGAGUGUUGUCUCGAAUGUGAGUAAAGGUUGGACAUGUUUGCUAGUCUACCUUGCCACGAAGCACAAAGGUUGACACACAGGGACUUUCCAAUUAUCCAGCAAUGGUACUGUUCCUUUACCCUCUCUUCGAUUUUGAGAAAGUAGUCAUGUUGGGAGUCUGGCUCUCGAGAUUCGGAGGACGGUGCCUCUUCGAUUUUGGAGCAAGCAAUCUUGUUGGGACUGUUUUCUCGAAUGUGAGUAAAGGUUGGGCAUGUUUGCUAGUCUACCUUGCCACGAAGCACAGAGGUUGACACACAGGGACUUUCCAAUUAUCCAGCAGUGGUACUGUUCCUUUACCCUUGUGGGUAAUAAUAUGGUAGCUAGACCUUCAAAAUUUAUGUGUCUAAACUUUGUUAGUGCUGUUUCUUUGCUAUUCUUUUACCUUUCUUGGUCAGAGCGAUGUAGUGGGAGCUGCAAGCUUCACGUGCUCAACUUUGGCAGAGAACUUUGGCAAAGUGAUCUGUGGUACCCAUGAGUUAUUGUUGCGUGUGGGAAGUGGGUGAUUGAACAGUAAGAUUCAUGUGCUUUCUACUUCACCAGAAGUCUUCGACAGAAUGCCCAUAAUUUCUGCAAAGCUGAGUGUGCGUGUGACAGGUGCUGACAAGGCUAGAAAAGUAGGUGCCUCUUCGAUUUCUGAGAUCGGCCCUCGUGGUCUCUGAGCAGCCCGGCUUUUGAGAAAGCGAGCGCCUCUUCGAUUGAUUCGGAGAACGGUGCCUCACCGAUUUUUGAGAAAGCAAUCAUGCUGGGGGUCUGGCUCUCGAGAUUCGGGGAGCAGUCUCUUCGAUUUUUGAGAAAGUAAUCAUGUUGGGAGAGUGGCUCUCGAGAUUCGGAGGGCGGUGCCUCUUCGAUUUUGGAGCAAGCAAUCUUGUUGGGAGUGUUUUCUCGAAUGUGAGUAAAGGUUGGGCAUGUUUGCUAGUCUACCUUGCCACGAAGCACAGAGGUUAACACACAGGGACUUUCCAAUUAUCCAGCAAUGGUACUGUUCCUUUACCCUCUCUUCGAUUUUUAAGAAAGUAGUCAUGUUGGGAGUCUGGCUCUUUAGAUUCGGAGGACGGUGCCUCUUCGAUUUUGGAGCAAGCAAUCUUAUUGGGAGUGUUUUCUCGAAUGUGAGUAAAGGUUGGGCAUGUUUGCUAGUCUACCUUGCCACGAAGCACAGAGGUUGACAUACAUGGACUUUCCAAUUAUCCAGCAGUGGUACUGUUCCUUUACCCUUGUGGGUAAUAAUAUGGUAGCUAGACCUUCAAAAUUUAUGGGUCUAAACUUUGUUAGUGCUGUUUCUUUGCUAUUCUUUUUACCCUUCUUGGUCAGAGCGAUGUAGUGGGAGCUGCAAGCUUCACGUGCUCAACUUUGGCAGAGAACUUUGGCAAAGUUAUCUGUGGUACCCAUGAGCUUAUUGUUGCGUGUGGGAAGUGGGAUUGAACAGUUGAACAGUAAGAUUCAUGUGUUUUCUACUUCCCCAGAAGUCUUUGACAGAAUGCCCAUAAUUUCCGCAAAGCUGAGUGUGCGUGUGACAGGUGCUGACAAGGCUGGAAAAGUAGGUGCCUCUUCGAUUUCUGAGAUCGGCCCUCGUGGUCUCUAGGGAGCCCAGCUUUUGAGAAAGCGAGCGCCUCUUCGAUUUCUGAGAUCGGCCUUCGUGGUCUUUGAGCAGCCCAACUUUUGAGAAAGCAAACGGCUCUUCGAUUUCUGAGAUCAACCCUCGUGAUCUCUAAGCAGCCCAACUUUUGAGAAAGCAAACGCCUCUUCGAUUUCUGAGCAGGCGCCUCUUUGAUUUCUGAAGCUCCGUCGAGUGCAGAUUUUUAUAGAGGCUGGCAUUAAGUUCCAAAGCACACUUGAAUCUCCACCAGUAGAAGCUUCAUUCUUGCACUUCUAAGAUCUUGAUUUGUCCGACCUCUUCUCUCUUCAACACCUUUGAAAAUGUCUGGCCCCUCCGACCGUCGUUUUGACUUGAACCUUGUUGAAGAGGCAGCCCCGCCUUCUCCAGACAACAUAUGGCGCCCAUCCUUUGUCUCCCCAACUGGUCCUCUUACCGUUGGGGAUUCCGUGAUGAAGAAUGAUAUGACCGCUGCGGUGGUGGCCAGGAACCUUCUCACUCCCAAAGAUAACAGACUACUUUCCAAACGGUCUGAUGAGUUAGCUGUUAAGGAUUCGCUGGCUCUCAGUGUUCAGUGUGCAGGUUCUGUGUCUAAUAUGGCCCAACGCCUAUUUGCUCGAACCCGCCAAGUUGAAUCAUUGGCGGCUGAAGUGAUGAGUCUCAAACAGGAGAUUAGAGGGCUCAAGCAUGAGAAUAAACAGUUGCACCGGCUCGCACAUGACUAUGCUACAAACAUGAAGAGGAAGCUUGACCAGAUGAAGGAAACUGAUGGUCAGGUUUUACUUGAUCAUCAGAGAUUUGUGGGUUUGUUCCAAAGGCAUUUAUUGCCUUCGUCUUCUGGGGCUGUACCGCGUAAUGAAGCUCCAAAUGAUCAACCUCUGAUGCCUCCUCCUUCUAGGGUUUUGUCCAGUACUGAGGCUCCAAAUGAUCCCCCUCCGGUGCCUUCUCUUUCUGGGGCUCUACCGACUGCUGAGACUUCUCCUAAGCAACCUUUGUGAAGGCUCCCUCUUGUGUUGUUUAUUUUUGACUCAUGUAUAUGUACAUAUUUGUAGCUUAUCGGGGAUAUCAAUAAAUAAGCUUUCCUUCAUUUCAACGUAUUGUGUUAAAUACACCAAAGCCUUCUUCGCUAAGUUCUUUGAAUUUUCUUUUGUUGAAGCUUGUAUGUUGAAGCUUUCUGAGUGGAGCAUGUAGGUUGGGGUAGUGUUCCCUUAAUUUCCCGAGUGAGGAAAACUUCUUGGUUGGAGACUUGGAAAAUCCAAGUCACUGAGUGGGAUCGGCUAUAUGAAUCUUAGAACGCCAUUGUGCUCGAUCCUGUGUCAUGUCCUUCGUUAGAUCCAAGUACUCUAAGUCUUUUCUUAGAGUCUCUUCCAAAGUUUUCCUAGGUCUUCCUCUACCCCUUCGGCCCUGAACCUCUGUCCCAUAGUCGCAUCUUCUAAUCGGAGCGUCAGUAGGCCUUCUUUGCACAUGUCCAAACCACCGUAACCGAUUUUCUCUCAUCUUUCCUUCAAUUUCGGCUACUCCUACUUUAACCCCGGAUAUCCUCAUUCCUAAUCUUAUCCUUUCUCGUGUGCCCACACAUCCAACGAAGCAUCCUCAUCUCCGCUACACCCAUUUUGUGUACGUGUUGAUGUUUCACCGCCCAACAUUCUGUGCCAUACAGCAUCGCCGGCCUUAUUGCCAUCCUAUAAAAUUUUCCCUUGAGCUUCAGUGGCAUACGGCGGUCACACAACACGCCGGAUGCACUCUUCCACUUCAUCCAUCCAGCUUGUAUUCUAUGGUUGAGAUCUCCAUCUAAUUCUCCGUUCUUUUGCAAGAUAGAUCCUAGGUAACGAAAACGGUCGCUCUUUGGUAUUUCUUGAUCUCCGAUCCUCACCCCUAACUCGUUUUGGCCUCCAUUUGCACUGAACUUGCACUCCAUAUAUUUCUGUCUUUGAUCGGCUUAGGCGAAGACCUUUAGAUUCCAACACUUCUCUCCAAAGGUUAAGCUUUGCAUUUACCCCUUCCUGAGUUUCAUCUAUCAACACUAUAUCGUCUGCGAAAAGCAUACACCAAGGAAUAUCAUCUUGAAUAUGUCCUGUUAACUCAUCCAUUACCAACGCAAAAAGGUAAGGACUUAAGGAUGAGCCUUGAUGUAAUCCUACAGUUAUGGGAAAGCUUUCGGUUUGUCCUUCAUGAGUUCUUACGGCAGUCUUUGCUCCUUCGUACAUAUCCUUUAUAGCUUGGAUAUAUAUGCUACUCGUACUCCUUUCUUCUCUAAAAUCCUCCAAAGAAUGUCUCUUGGGACCCUAUCAUACGCUUUUUCCAAAUCUAUAAAGACCAUGUGUAAAUCCUUUUUUCCCAUCUCUAUAUCUUUCCAUCAAUCUUCGUAAGAGAUAGAUUGCCUCCAUGGUUGAGCGCCCUGGCAUGAACCCGAAUUGGUUGUCCGAAACCCGUGUCUCUUGCCUCAAUCUAUGCUCAAUGACUCUCUCCCAGAGCUUCAUUGUAUGACUCAUUAGCUUAAUACCCCUAUAGUUCAUGCAAUUUUGUACGUCGCCCUUAUUCUUGUAUAUAGGCACCAAAGUGCUCGUUCGCCACUCAUUUGGCAUCUUCUUCGUUUUCAAAAUCCUAUUGAAAAGGUCAGUGAGCCAUGUUAUACCUGUCUCUCCCAAAACUUUCCACACUUCGAUUGGUAUAUCGUCUGGGCCUAUUGCUUUUCUAUGCUUCAUCUUCUUCAAAGCUACAACCACUUCUUCCUUCCGGAUUCGACGAUAAAAGGAGUAGUUUCUACACUCUUCUGAGUUACUCAACUCCCCUAAAGAAGCACUCCUUUCAUGUCCUUCAUUGAAAAGAUUAUGAAAAUAACCUCUCCAUCUGUCUUUAACCGCGUUCUCUGUAGCAAGAACCUUUCCAUCCUCAUCCUUGAUGCACCUCACUUGGUUUAGGUCCCUUGUCUUCUUUUCCCUUGCUCUAGCUAGUUUAUAGAUAUCCAACUCUCCUUCUUUGGUAUCUAGUCGUUUAUACAUAUCGUCGUAAGCCGCUAACUUAGCUUCUCUGACAGCUUUCUUCGCCUCUUGCUUCGCUUUUCUAUACCUUUCACCAUUUUCAUCGGUCCUCUCCUUGUAUAAGGCUUUACAACAUUCCUUCUUAGCCUUCACCUUUGUUUGUACCUCCUCAUUCCACCACCAAGAUUCCUUUUGGUGUGGGGCAAAGCCCUUGGACUCUCCUAAUACCUCUUUUGCUACUUUUCGGAUACAACUAGCCAUGGAAUCCCACAUUUGGCUAGCUUCCCCCUCUCUAUCCCACACACACAUUGGGUGAUUACCUUCUCUUUGAAAAUGGCUUGUUUUUCUCCUUUUUAGAUUCCACCAUCUAGUUCUUGGGCACUUCCAAGUCUUGUUCUUUUGUCUUACUCUUUUGAUAUGUACAUCCAUCACCAACAAGCGAUGUUGAUUAGCCACGCUCUCUCCUGGUAUAACUUUGCAAUCCUUACAAGUUAUACGAUCCCCUUUCCUCAUUAGAAGAAAAUCUAUUUGUGUUUUUUGACGACCCACUCUUGUAGGUGAUCACAUGUUCUUCUCUCUUCUUAAAGAAGGUGUUGGCUAAGAAGAGAUCAUAUGCCAUUGCAAAAUCCAAGAUAGCUUCCCCAUCCUCGUUUCUCUCCCCAAAACCAUGGCCACCAUGAAAACCUCCAUAGUUGCCUGUCUCCCUGCCCACGUGUCCAUUAUCCUCCUAUAAAUAACUUCUCCGUCUGAGCAAUUCCUUGCACCAAGUCUCCAAGAUCUUCUCCCAAAUUUCUCCUUCGAACUCGUAUCCAACCCUACUUGAGGUGCGUACGCACUAAUCACAUUGAUAAGUUCUUGUCCUAUUAUACAAUCUUUGAUUGCCAUGAUUCAUUCUACUCUCCCCUACUCUUGACAUCUACAACAAUCUUGUACUUGUACCAAGGUCUUGUCCACGAUGAUGCCAACACCGUUUCUCGUUCUAUUUGUGCCCGAAUACCAAAGUUUAAACCCUGAGUUUUCUAGAUCCUUUGCCUUACUACCAACCCACUUAGUUUCUUGUAGGCACAUAAUAUUUAUCCUUCUCCUCACCAUAACUUCCACUACUUCCAUAGAUUUUCCCGUUAAGGUUCCUAUAUUCCACGUUCCUAAACGCAUUUUGCUCUCUUGAACUCUACCCUUCUGUCCUAGCUUCUUCACCCUCCCCCGUCUAAUAGGAUCAAAGUACUUCUUUUGUGUGUCCCGGGUAAAGUUGAUAGGAGCAUAUAUGCUCCCAAAAACAACUUUGAGUGGAGUCGUUCGAAAAGAAGUUUCUAUGGCCCCCUUGCUCAUUUAACACUGCAUCCGGGUGCCGAUGGAGAUACAGCGACCCUUGCUCACUUAUCACUGUGCUCGGGCCACACAGCGCGCCACUUACGGGUGACGCCCUAGCUUUAGCGCGAUUUUGUUCUGGAUUCAUUUUCAUAAGGAUUCGACGUGAUCAUGGAGUGCCGGCUGUCGACUACCUGACGCCCUCCCCCUCCUCCUUUAUCCGGGCUUGGGACCGGCCAUGUAAGACAUAGGCGGAGUUACAGGCAUAGCGUUUAUUUGAUAAAAAUUGAUAAUGUCAUCUAAAUAAAGAAGUAUCUCACAAAGCUGAAGACAUAUUUGGAGAUAGUAUCCAUUUUUGAGCUUCAUGGGGUGAAGAAUUUUCCAGCUCAGCCAUUUCCAUAGAGCUCUC